UACAGAGGGUGCAAGCGUUGUUCGGAAUUAUUGGGCGUAAAGGGCGUGUAGGCGGUUUGCUAAGUCAUGUGUGAAAUCCCUCGGCUUAACCGAGGAACGACGCAUGAAACUGGCAAGCUAGAGUACCAAAGAGGGGGGUGGAAUUCCACGUGUAGCAGUGAAAUGCGUAGAGAUGUGGAGGAACACCGAUGGCGAAGGCAGCCCCCUGGGCUAACACUGACGCUCAUGCACGAAAGCGUGGGGAGCAAACAGG
RNAcentral lists this ribosomal RNA (253 nucleotides) under uncultured bacterium. RNAcentral describes it as "partial 16S ribosomal RNA". It matches the Rfam family "Bacterial small subunit ribosomal RNA", at positions 524 to 776 of the family's 1533-position model. The record is from RNAcentral.